Non-coding RNA from Pelobates cultripes (western spadefoot toad), 1843 nucleotides. The record is from the annotation of a GenBank genome assembly. Lineage: Eukaryota; Metazoa; Chordata; Amphibia; Anura; Pelobatidae.
GCGCAUUCAGCCGACGGGGAGUUUAACCCCUUUUCCCCUUUCCAGAGCCCGGCGGGAGGGGGACCCUGAGGGUGGGGGCACCCUCAGGGCACUAUAGUGCCAGGAAAACAAGUAUGUUUUCCUGGCACUAUAGUGGUCCUUUAACUUAAAGUAUUUCUUGGUUAAAUAAAUAGCAUAAACUGGAAAGUCCACGAACAAGACCAUAUAGUGCGGGAUCAGGACCAGCAAAACAAAUUAAAGUCUUAUUAGAUAAUUCGGGCAGGACCAGCAGAAACAAAAGUAUACAGUAUAUGGCUAGGUUAACCAAGGCAGGUUCAAGCACACACAAUUCUGUGCUCUAGUUACACAGAAUUAACAUUAACCAGCCCAGAACCAAAUUUCAGGAGUGAAGUGGAUAAGUAAUGAUUACAGUUUUUGGCACCAGUGGAUAUUGAAUGACAUCAAAGACAGCUUAUACAAAGAUAGAAACAUGUAACCUCACCCCACCCUUCCCCAUUUUUGUUGAGAUUACCUGCUUUUAUCUUUGUAUUUGAUAAUACUUGCACAUUACCUCUAUGAAUUCAGUGACUUGUUACUCCACUUUCCAAUCAUGUCCAUCUUGAAAAUGUUCUAUUAAAUGGAUACUAUAAGUGCCAGGAAUACAAAGCAGUAUUCCUGACACUAUAGCUCCGUCUGCCCCCUCCCUUCCUCCCUCGCGCCCCCAUGACAUCAAUAAAGGGUUAAAAACCCUUUAUUUACUUUCCUUACCCUAGCGCCAAUAUACCUUGGCGCUGGGUCGCGGCUCUGCCUCCUCCGACGCCCCGCAAAUAAUCAAUGUUUUCCUAUGGGAAAAAAAACUGACGCUGGAUGUCCUCAUGCAGAGCGUGUGGACGUACAGCGUCAGUUACCGGACCAAAGGGAGACAGCCACUUGAGGCAGACAGUGCUGCAAUGUAAACAUUUCAGUUUCCCUGGAACAGCAGUGUUUAACAUUGCAGCAUUAAGUGUAAUAGGGACACUGCACCCAGACCACUUCAAUUAGCUGAAGUGGUCUGGGUGCCUAUGGUGUCCAUCUAACAGCCACUCUCUGUACUCGGUCUUAAUGCCAAUAUUCAAUCCAACAAAAACAUUUAUAACCUUGAAUGUACAUAAUUUUAUUUUCAGGCCUCCCUGAAUAUCUGUUGCUAAUUUAUUUUAUUUUUUAUUUUAUACAUAAAUGUGAUAUUUUAUUUUUGUUACGAAAAACCAACAACGCGUAGUGAAUGGUUUAAGUCUUGUAAGUAUAGAUAGCGACCUUUGCUGUCAGUUUUAUUAUUGAAUUAAAUUUAGUUGUAUGUAUGCUAAUAUUGCUGUGACUAGGCUACAACGAACAUAUUUUAAAAUCAUGUUUGUUUGACUAUUAGAAACUGUAUGGUUUUGCCUGUUAUUUAAAGGGACACUGUAACUUCCUGAGAUUAUUAAUAUAUUUACUUGUCAUCUAUAUUAAACAAAUUUGUAUUUUUGAAGUUUUCAAAAAUAAAAAUAAGUCUUGAAAUCAGCAUCUCUUUAUCCUUUAGUGAGAGCCUCCAUCUUAGUUCACUAUCAGUCAUUGUUAUAACCUCUGUCCUUUUAACCUGGCAGGCAGAAUAGAGAAAAAAUACAGAGAAGAAGAGACAUUAGACUCUGUUCUAUUUCACCCCGUAGCUAUGUUUUUACCCUAGCUUUUCUUUUUCUGGACUGAAUUGAGAUGUAAUUUGCUAAAUAUUUAACAUCAGUUUAAAAGAAAAUGGCGCAGGUCAUGAAAUAGGGCAACACAAAUUAAAGGUGGUUUUCAAUAUUUUAAUGCUGCUCCAACCUAUCUAUCCUCCCUAAUACACAAGUAUGUC